AACGUAGGUGGCGAGCGUUAUCCGGAUUUACUGGGCGUAAAGCGUGUGCAGGUGGCCUGUUAAGUGGUGUAUGAAAUCGCCCGGCUCAACCGGGCGGGGUUAUGCCAGACUGGCAGGCUAGAGGGUGGGAGAGGGAUGUGGAAUUCCGGGUGUAGUGGUGAAAUGCGUAGAGAUCCGGAGGACCCCCAGAGGCGAAGGCGGCAUCCUGGCCCACGACUGACACUAAGACACGACAGCAUGGGGAGCGAACGGG
Molecule: ribosomal RNA, 253 nt
Filed under: uncultured bacterium
Lineage: Bacteria
Description: partial 16S ribosomal RNA
Rfam family: Bacterial small subunit ribosomal RNA
Source: RNAcentral